GCCCAGGUGGGACAGUGGUUACUCCGUUUGGUUGCUAACCAAAUUUCACGCAAGUGAUUCCCAGGUUCAAAUCCUGGCCUGGGCG
RNAcentral lists this transfer RNA (85 nucleotides) under Candidatus Pacearchaeota archaeon. RNAcentral describes it as "tRNA-Ser". It matches the Rfam family "tRNA". From Rfam's summary of the family: Transfer RNA (tRNA) molecules are approximately 80 nucleotides in length. Their secondary structure includes four short double-helical elements and three loops (D, anti-codon, and T loops). Lineage: Archaea; Nanobdellati. The record is from RNAcentral.